UUACCUAACCACAAAAAUGCAGCAACGCGGCAGUUAGCCUAAUAACUAAAAAAAAUAAGGAAUCCUAUACCAUCAAAAACAAAGACUAGCAAAGCAAAAUCUCAUGUCCCUAUAAUUUUACCUUAACAAACUAUUACUUAAAUUUUUUUAGGAUUUACUAUGAUUUUUUUUUUUCUCCUUAUCGUAAUACCAUUUCUAAAAAUUGGCAUCCGCGCUAAAGUCUACUAAAUUUCAUGCUCACAUAUUAUUCAACUAGCCAUAAGCUAACACAAUGUUACAUAUUCUUGAACUACAUAAUUACCUACAUAUAUGACCAUUGAUUCUCUUAAUGAAG
RNAcentral lists this long non-coding RNA (334 nucleotides) under Trifolium pratense (red clover). RNAcentral's name for it is "long non-coding RNA (TPRA_LNC009891)". The record is from RNAcentral. Lineage: Eukaryota; Viridiplantae; Streptophyta; Magnoliopsida; Fabales; Fabaceae.